CCCAGCUACAAGACUUGACAGGAUCGAUCCCGGCUCUAGAUAUCGAUCGUCAGCCUCUACACUGACCCGGAAUAAAAACGCCGCCCAAUUCCGGGCGGCGUUUUUGCGUUUGGCGGAUGCUUCAGCAUCGACCGCCUCAGCGCGGGGUGUCGGCAAACGCCGCAAGAAUGCGCGCCCACGAGCGGAUACCCUUGUGGAAGCUCUUCAGGUCGUACUUCUCGUUCGGCGAGUGGAUGUUGUCAUCCUCGAGGCCGAACCCGAUCAGCACCGUGUCGAGUCCAAGCGUCUUCUUGAAAUCCGCAACAAUCGGAAUCGAUG
This 318-nucleotide unclassified non-coding RNA is filed under the name Hevea brasiliensis (rubber tree). The record is from RNAcentral. Lineage: Eukaryota; Viridiplantae; Streptophyta; Magnoliopsida; Malpighiales; Euphorbiaceae.